AUUUGCAACGACCAUUAUAUGAAAUGUUUCCCCGGUAAAAGCGCAUUGGCAUUUCAAUGGGCUGCUGUCCUGUGAGCGGAGAGCGGGAGUAAGGAUUCAGCUUGCUUAAUGCGCGAACCUUGAUUUCUGUAAAAAAUUAAAAAGGAGGGUUCGCCUUGACGAUUGAACAAUUAGCUCUGAGCGGCGAUUCAUUAGAAAACAGUUUUGAGAGUGUGGUUUGGUUUUUGUAUUUUUUUUGGAUUGUGCUGGAAUUUUUCAUUUUCUGCCGCAGCUGCUGCUUCUCUCUCGGCGCCGCAGAGAGGAGCUCAGGCUAGCAGAUGGUCACAGGGUAGCUCUGCACUAACAGAGCAGCGUUCCUUAGGAGUCGUGGGAAAACCUUUGGAUGUACUCUCCUGCCUUCUGCUCUGGGUAUUCAGAGAGCCGGGGAGCUGAGACGGGCUUAAUAAAGACAAAACAAAGACACGAAUACAAAGGAAACAGUGUGUAGUGAGGGGAGGGGUAAUAAUAAUGCUUUAUCAUUGAAAAGAACUGGGGUCACAUAAGCUGCCUUUGCUAAUAGCUUUGGUUUGAUAAAAUAAAGAAUUGAAACAACAACAAAAAAAAAACCCAAGCAUGAUACCAUGAGUAUCUCUUAAUAAAUAAUUAGGGGAGGGGGGACGGGGGGGUUUAAAUUCAGAUUUAUUUCUCACUCCGGUGAAGGAAUGAAUUUGUAUUUUUAUGGUUGUCAUUACUGCAUGUGAAAGUGCUAAAGGAACGUGUUUGAACACAUUUCCACGGCAUCUGCAGAAUCUUUGAAUUUGUAAUCAGAACCCGUGAUCAGAAUCUCCUAGAUGAUUCCUGUAAUGUGAUUGAUCGCAUCUCGAGCCUUUUCUGGACAUGUCAUAUACAGAUGCGUGGAUAAGAAUGAAGUGUCUUGAUAAAGACACACAGAUAAAGCGUCUGGAUGUGGCUCAGAGGAUAAGUGAUGGUCCAUUGCCCUGCCUGUGAUCGUGGCCUCCGUUUUGCUCAGCUUUGUGAUCUGUGGCAGCCGGGGAGUUAUAAGAAGUUGUCUUGCCAGUUGUUAAAGGGUUCUUCAGCCUGUGUCAGUUUUGUUCUGUCCUUCUCCACUGUCUGCUCUCCCUAAAGAGAAGAAGGACAACACAGAGAAAUUGACUGGAUUCACCUGACUCUUGUAUGGCAAUGGCAGUGACCUGUGAAAUCGGUGCGUUCUUGUGAAGUGGAAGCGCUCCCAGCUGACAUGUGCACACUGCACUGGAUCCUGGGAUUUCACUUUGCAGUAGCGCUGCAGAUGGACCUUCCUAGUCGUUGAAAGUGAUCUCAUCUCACCCACAAUGCUCUUGGAAACGACUUGCUUGAAGAAGAGCAGGAGGAGAGUGACUGGUGAAAGUAAGAGUACACCUAUGAAUCCUCACACCCCCCAUGAGGUUCAGUAGAGUUUUCUGGGACGGUACAUUUCCAAAGUGAAAAAGGUAAAGAGUGAUAUUCAAAGUUAGCAUUAUUUGUAUAAGACUUCAUUCAGAACGCGUCCCUCAUAACACAGUAUAGUUUCUACCCAUACCAAAAAGUUAUGGACACACAUUUAACUUCAUAACAUAUUGUUCAGGAUUUUACCGGUUGAGUACAUUGUGAUCCAGCACUUUGCAAUUACCCUGCAUACUGCUUCCAGAUGUUUUCAGCUGCCCAUUACGUGUGCUCAAUGCAUCUCAUUUUAGCAAGGUCUGUGUAUGUGUACAAGCCAGCAGUAAUGUUAGCCCAGUGUGGAAAGCUUCUCACUGUAAUCUCUGUGCAUGUACUGUACUGUAGGCUAUUUUUAGUCCCCAUGUAUGAUUGUUAAAUAUUGUUUUGCCGCCUUCCUUGCAAUAAAGACAAGCUGCGAUGCAGGAGACACGUUUCUUUCUCUUUCUUUCUAGAGCCCUGACUUGUUUAUUUCUGAUUUGGUCACUUUGUUGGGUGUGUUUUUGCGUUCUGAAAAAUAAAGAAAGUGUGCAGUAAAUGUAUUGUCCAGUUUUACAGCUUUCCUACCUCGCAAGACACUGAAGCAGCCAGCCGACAUGCGGGGACUUACAGGAAGUGACCGGCUGAAAGAAGAACAUUAAGAACCAUAAAACACAAGGUUCUGCAGUGGCUUUCAAACUGGUUUCCAUGGAAUCUACUCCAGCUAUUCCCACCUGGAGAGAGAACCGUCCCUGUUUUUAUAAAUGUUUACCACAGUAAAAACAUAGCAAAGUGUAAUAAAGCAUUGUGCAAGCAUGGUAAAGCUUAGGGUAAGCAUAGUAAAGAAUAGCGAGGUAUGGUAAAACAAACAUACAGGGCAGAAAAGACAGAACUCCCACAGGAGCCCUCUCCUGAGUGGAGGAGAAGCAGUGACACACAUGGAGGCCAGUGCAGUGUUCUCUGCUCUGCGUGUAGGUUUAAGUGCAGCAUUCUCUGCUGUGCAUGCAGGUAUCAGUGCAGCAUUCUCUGCUCUGCGUGCAGGUUUCAGUGCAACGUUCUCUGCUUUGCAUGCAGGUUUCAGUGCAGCAUUCUCUGCUGUGCAUGCAGGUUUCAGUGCAGCAUUCUCUGCUCUGCGUGCAGGUUUCAGUGCAGUAUUCUCUGCUCUGCAUGCAGGUUUCAGUGCAGCAUUCUGCGUGCAGGUUUCAGUGUAGCAUUCUCUGCUCUGCGUGCAGGUUUCAGUGCAGCGUUCUCUGCUCUGCAUGCAGGUUUCAGUGCAGCAGUCUCUGCUCUAUGUGCAGGUUUCAGUGCAGCAUUCUCUGCUGUGCAUG
This is a long non-coding RNA of Polyodon spathula (Mississippi paddlefish), 2762 nucleotides long. RefSeq lists it as uncharacterized. NCBI's taxonomy places the organism in Eukaryota, Metazoa, Chordata, Actinopteri, Acipenseriformes, Polyodontidae. The transcript is spliced from 6 exons. The record is from RefSeq and is a predicted model, not a curated record.